Molecule: long non-coding RNA, 943 nt
Filed under: Oryctolagus cuniculus (rabbit)
Lineage: Eukaryota; Metazoa; Chordata; Mammalia; Lagomorpha; Leporidae
Description: lncRNA (ENSOCUG00000029816.1)
Source: RNAcentral
AAAAAUAUGUGCUGCAUAUCUGACAAAGAUAAAUUGGAUUAUUCAAAAUAUUCUUGAUGAAAUGUUACAUUUUGCAACUAAUUAUCAAUCUGUUUUAUCUGCAGACCAGCUGGGCGUUUUUGUGCAUGCAAGACCUGCCUUCGCAGUGAUCUUAAGAUGUCACUGCAGCGUUUACAUCUUUUAUUUCAAGAUUUAAAUAACUAGGAAGUAGCUAAUGUAAUUCACUGCUGAGAAGAAAGGCCGGCUCCUUGAUGCUUUUCCAAAGCCAUCUCUCCCUAAUGAACUUCUUGGACUUUUUUUGUACCCAGGACUGUGCCCUUCCUGCAGUUGUACCAAGAGGUCACGCGGCUUCCGGUCACGGCUCACAGAUCCACGCUCCUGCGCCGGCAGGGACCUGACAGACAAACGCGCUGCCCCCGGAAUUUAAAAAUCCUACAGACUAAGUUCCACAACCAGAGAGAUACUAAGAAGUCGAUGGCUUCGAAUGGCGGCUGCUGCUUUCCCCACCGGUCGGAGGCCCUCCACGCCAUCAGCGUGGUGAGUGCCGCUCACGGGGCUCUGCAUUGCAGGACACGCUGACACCCUGUCCCUUCGGCCAGAGGUGAAGUCGUGUGCACCGGCCAUGUGAACGGGACGAGCUCCCCCAGGUUUGCAGAUCCAGGCUUUUUAGCAUCCUGCCCCCUCCUUCUAUUGAGUGGAAAAAUAGAGGAAAGCAGGCAAGAAUAAGAGAAACAUAAACACAGGAGGAAGCAUAGGUAGCCAGCUCUAACAGGCAGGAGGAUUUCCCGUUAUUCAGAAAGAGAGCUAUGAGGGCGCGCACGCUGCAUGUUUCAAUUCACGUUGGGAUUGAAGCUGGCAAAUUCAAUCAAAUUCAGCUUUGAUCGGCAGUGGCCACCUCUGUGGUCACCUGGGCUCUGAAAUCCGGUCCAGGCCAGCGUAGUCC